AAACUGCGAUAAGUAGUGUGAAUUGCAUUUAGUGAAUCAUCGAAUCUUUGAACGCACCCUGCACUCACCGGUAUUCCGGUGAGUACGCCUGUUUCAGUAUCAUUGAAAACACACAAUCAAAACAUUUUCUUUGGUUUGAUUGGCUUUGGGUCUAUCAAAAAGUUUGGCUUGUUUCUUACAAGCCAAGCGGCCUGAAAUAUAUUGUCUGGCUAAUUGCAUCGUUGAUGAUCGCUAUUAGACUUUGGCUUUUUUAAAUGAACUGGAGGUUGAUUAACCAGUUUUAGCUUUAGUCAAAUGGUCAUUGUAAAAAAAAUCUCGAUCUUGGCUAGGUGUUUAUAGCCGAAAAUUUUUUUUUGGCUAUAACCGAAACCAAUAUAAUCACAUUUAGUUAUCGAUCUGAAAUCAGGUGGGACUACCCGCUGAACUUAAGC
Molecule: unclassified non-coding RNA, 431 nt
Filed under: plant metagenome
Description: partial contains 5.8S ribosomal RNA, internal transcribed spacer 2, and large subunit ribosomal RNA
Rfam family: 5.8S ribosomal RNA (bases 1-102)
Source: RNAcentral